RNAcentral lists this ribosomal RNA (692 nucleotides) under uncultured archaeon. Its description in RNAcentral is "bacterial SSU rRNA". It matches the Rfam family "Archaeal small subunit ribosomal RNA", at positions 1 to 695 of the family's 1478-position model. The record is from RNAcentral.
UCCCGGUUGAUCCUGCCAGAGGUUACUGCUAUCGGUGUUCGACUAAGCCAUGCGAGUCAUAUGUUCUUCGUGAACAUGGCGGACUGCUCAGUAACACGUGGAUAACCUGCCCUUAGGUUUGGCAUAACUCCGGGAAACUGGAGAUAAUUCCGAAUAGGUCAAAUAUGCUGGAAUGCUUUUUGACCAAAAGACCUCGGUUGCCUAAGGAUGGAUCUGCGGUCUAUCAGGUAGUAGUGGGUGUAACGUACCUACUAGCCUACGACGGAUAUGGGUUGUGAGAGCAAGAGCCCAGAGAUGGAUUCUGAGACAUGAAUCCAGGCCCUACGGGGCGCAGCAGGCGCGAAAACUUUACAAUGCGGGAAACCGCGAUAAGGGGACACCGAGUGCCAGCAUUUAUGUUGGCUGUCCACAUGUGUAAACGGCAUGUGUUAGCAAGGGCCGGGCAAGACCGGUGCCAGCCGCCGCGGUAACACCGGCGGCCCGAGUGGUAAUCACUUUUAUUGGGUCUAAAGGGUCCGUAGCCGGUUUGAUCAGUUCUUCGGGAAAUCUGACAGCUCGACUGUUAGGCUUCCGGGGAAUACUGUCAGACUUGGGACCGGGAGAGGUAAGAGGUACUACAGGGGUAGGAGUGAAAUCUUGUGAUCCCUGUGGGACCACCAGUGGCGAAGGCGUCUUACCAGAACGGGUCCGAC